UGGGGAAUCUUGGACAAUGGGGGCAACCCUGAUCCAGCCAUGCCGCGUGAGUGAUGAAGGCCUUAGGGUCGUAAAGCUCUUUCGCCUGUGAAGAUAAUGACGGUAGCAGGUAAAGAAACCCCGGCUAACUCCGUGCCAGCAGCCGCGGUAAUACGGAGGGGGUUAGCGUUGUUCGGAAUUACUGGGCGUAAAGCGCACGUAGGCGGACCAGAAAGUUGGGGGUGAAAUCCCGGGGGCUCAACCCCGGAACUGCCUCCAAAACUAUUGGUCUAGAGUUCGAGAGAGGUGAGUGGAAUUCCAAGUGUAGAGGUGAAAUUCGUAGAUAUUUGGAGGAACACCAGUGGCGAAGGCGGCUCACUGGCUCGAUACUGACGCUGAGGUGCGAAAGUGUGGGGAGCAAACAGGAUUAGAUACCCUGGGUAGUCCACACCGUAAAACGAUGAAUGCCAGUCGUCGGGGUAGCAUCUAUUCGGUGACACACCUAACGGAUUAAGCAUUCCGCCUGGGGAGUACGGUCGCAAGAUUAAAA
Molecule: ribosomal RNA, 529 nt
Filed under: uncultured bacterium
Lineage: Bacteria
Description: bacterial SSU rRNA
Rfam family: Bacterial small subunit ribosomal RNA
Source: RNAcentral